RNAcentral lists this unclassified non-coding RNA (409 nucleotides) under Hevea brasiliensis (rubber tree). The record is from RNAcentral. Lineage: Eukaryota; Viridiplantae; Streptophyta; Magnoliopsida; Malpighiales; Euphorbiaceae.
UAGCAACAGCUGCAAUGGCAGAAGAAGCACAAACAGAAGCCAUUUUUGGCCAAUUUCUUCUUCUCGAAUGAUAUUGUGCUGUGUUGGAAUGGUGUGUGGAGGUUGAUAUGGAUGCAAAUUUGUUAAUGUAUAGAGAGGCUUAUCUUAAAGGAUAGGAGAAAGAAAAUGUAAUUGGCUAAUGGGUUGCCAUGUGGCAUGCAGAAUCUGAUAUCAAAACUUUCUAUAUCCACGUCCUUUGCCUAGUUGGGUUAAUCACAAAUUGGUGGCUCACAUCCUCCGCCUCCUGGUUCAUAUAAUCUAAAUAUCUGCUGCAAUUGGCCAUUGGGCCUAGCAGGUGAUAAUAGUUAAGCUAGCGUUCUGAUGCACUUGCCACAGCCUACACAUUUGACUCUUAUGGGACAAAAGGCAU